This 168-nucleotide ribosomal RNA is filed under the name Chaetodon trifascialis (chevron butterflyfish). Its description in RNAcentral is "partial 12S rRNA". Lineage: Eukaryota; Metazoa; Chordata; Actinopteri; Chaetodontiformes; Chaetodontidae. The record is from RNAcentral.
CACCGCGGUUAUACGAGAGACUCAGGUUGACAGCCAUCGGCGUAAAGAGUGGUUAGGACGGACAAAAACUAAAGCCGAAUGCUCUCAAAGCUGUUAUACGCCCUCGAAGGUAAGAAGCCCUACUACGAAAGUGACUUUAUUAAAUCUGAUUCCACGAAAGCUAGGAUA